Non-coding RNA from Megalopta genalis, 1700 nucleotides. The record is from RefSeq and is a predicted model, not a curated record. NCBI's taxonomy places the organism in Eukaryota, Metazoa, Arthropoda, Insecta, Hymenoptera, Halictidae.
GAGAGAUGGAAAACAAGCAAGCUGACCUUAAUUUCGCGUCGGAAAAACGCGAGGGAGCUCGCGGCGUCGCGGCGAGCGGAGCCGCGCCGGUUAGGGGCACGUGUGCACGUUGCACAUUGCACAUUGCGCACGUAUGCGGGCGCGUGCAAGCGCCGCGCAGCGCGCGCUACGAACGGGGCGUGCUUUCGAUACUAAUGAGCCAGAUUAGAUGAACCGUUAGAUCCGCGCCGCGAUAUAAAUCACCGGUAAGAGUACGUGCGUUAAGCUUUUUCUGUUCCAAUUACUUAUGCACACGCUGCGUGUCCUGGAUUCUUCUUUCUCGGCCUUACGAGAUUAUGCGCCCCAGCUUCGGAGAUAUUUUCCACCCCGAUCACUAUGCUCGUCUUUCGCCGUGAUAUUUCUACUUUGGACUUGUCGUUUCUUGGAUUUUUUUGAUACUAGACGGAUUUUUGGUAACUUUUUUCUGCUUGGACGCUCGCGACUUUACGCUGUUUAUCUCGUGGAGUUGCAGUAUUCUUUAAAAUUGUUACUCUCUUUACUCUAUUUUUUUUAGACAGUUAGGCUUUAAAGCACGAAACGAGAAAUUGGAUGGUAGGAUGUUAUGGUUAGCACGUUAAGCGUCCAACGAUAGAUCAACCCCAAAAUUUCAACCCCAAUCCUAAAACUAUCAAAGUCGUUUAAGUAAUAAAUUAAAGUCGUGCAAUUUACUAUAGUAAUUAUUGGUAUAAUCUAUUCUAGUGUAUCGGAAUCGAAAUGAAUUUCAAAAGUUAGUUUGUGAUCAAUGCGGCACGCGAUGCAUUAAAUUGACAAGAUGAAUAGAGAGAUAAAUGAUGCAAAAAUUGGAAGAAGCAAUGUACAACCUUAUUUAGAAAAAAGUCGCAUUCCAACAACCUUGGUAAACGAAAACUUUCGUCGAGUCACGUACAAAAAGUUGUAAUUCAAUACAGUUUUGUCCGAUUCGAAAAUUACAGCAACAUAAUUCUUUUAUGCUCGCCGUCUGGAGGAUUGCUGAGAUUACGGGGUCCAACGGUUGCCAAUUCGUGGAGAUGGGCGAACAGACGCGAGACUGAAACCGCUUCUGACAGCAGACGAAUUGUUUAGGGUCGCUCGCUUAGAAUCGUACGCGAGGGAUACCUGGAGCUAUCGAAGAUCUCGGGGAACAGUCGGAAGCACAAUGGUUCGAACGAUCAUCCGUGAUAGAAAAAAGAAAAGAGAAAAAAGAUCGGCCGGCUCGAAUUCCAGCGGAGCUUCAAUGCCUGUAUUUUCUCUCGUAAAAAAGACCGUAAAUCCCUGCAUUGAAAACAUAAAAAAGGGCGAUGAGGGGGCCGAUAGCGUGGACCUAGUUGACCGAGCCAGAAAAAUUCAGAAAAUCGAUGGACAGAGAACGAAACCGGACAGCCAGGAAUGCUCGAGCUCUUUUACAUCUCGCCAAAUUAAGAAAGACAAUAAAAACAACAGCCAGUUUUCAUAAAUAUCCGCCAAUGAGAAGAAACGGUAUUUCGGUUUUUCACUACUUUUUUCAGUAAUCCGCGGAUCGCCGUCUUUAUCUCAUAUCUAUCCUCGUUUGCGUUAACCAGUUAGCUGUCGCAAUCUCGUUGAAAAGUGUACAAGUUACUGUUAUUAUACUGUGCAUGUUUGAUCAUCUUCAUAUUUUGUUUAACACUAUAAACCUACCACGGUCAAAAUGACCGAUUUUUUAU